GACGAACGCUGGCGGCGUGCUUAACACAUGCAAGUCGAACGGAAAGGCCCUGCUUUUGUGGGGUGCUCGAGUGGCGAACGGGUGAGUAACACGUGAGUAACCUGCCCUUGACUUUGGGAUAACUUCAGGAAACUGGUGCUAAUACCGGAUAGGAGCUCCUGCUGCAUGGUGGGGGUUGGAAAGUUUAGGCGGUGGGGGAUGGACUGGCGGCUUAUCAGCUUGUUGGUUGGGGAGUGGCUUACCAAGGCUUUGGCGGGUAGCCGGCCUGAGAGGGUGACCGGCCACAUUGGGACUGAGAUACGGCCCAGACUCCUACGGGAGGCAGCAGUGGGGAAUAUUGCACAAUGGGCGGAAGCCUGAUGAAGCAACGCCGCGUGCGGGAUGAAGGCCUUCGGGUUGUAAACCGCUUUAGCCUGUGACGAAGCGUGAGUGACGGUAAUGGGUAAAGAAGCACCGGCUAACUACGUG
RNAcentral lists this ribosomal RNA (468 nucleotides) under uncultured bacterium. RNAcentral describes it as "partial 16S ribosomal RNA". It matches the Rfam family "Bacterial small subunit ribosomal RNA", at positions 28 to 507 of the family's 1533-position model. The record is from RNAcentral.